UAAGGAAUAUUGGUCAAUGGACGCAAGUCUGAACCAGCCAUGCCGCGUGGAGGAUGAAGGUCCUCUGGAUUGUAAACUUCUUUUAUUUGGGAAGAAAUCUAUCUUUUCUUGGAUAGUUGACGGUACCAGAUGAAUAAGCACCGGCUAACUCCGUGCCAGCAGCCGCGGUAAUACGGAGGGUGCAAGCGUUAUCCGGAUUCACUGGGUUUAAAGGGUGCGUAGGUGGGCAGGUAAGUCAGUGGUGAAAUCUCCGGGCUUAACCCGGAAACUGCCAUUGAUACUAUCUGUCUUGAAUACCCUGGAGGUGAGCGGAAUAUGUCAUGUAGCGGUGAAAUGCUUAGAUAUGACAUAGAACACCCAUUGCGAAGGCAGCUCACUACGGGAAUAUUGACACUGAGGCACGAAAGCGUGGGGAUCAAACAGG
Molecule: ribosomal RNA, 424 nt
Filed under: uncultured bacterium
Lineage: Bacteria
Description: bacterial SSU rRNA
Rfam family: Bacterial small subunit ribosomal RNA
Source: RNAcentral